Long non-coding RNA from Triticum aestivum (bread wheat), 975 nucleotides. RefSeq lists it as uncharacterized. The record is from RefSeq and is a predicted model, not a curated record. NCBI's taxonomy places the organism in Eukaryota, Viridiplantae, Streptophyta, Magnoliopsida, Poales, Poaceae. The transcript has 3 exons.
AAGGCUGGCCCAUGUCCGUGACCUUUAUCCCUAACUCGUGAACAAGCCGUCGCCGCACACCUGCUCUGCCUCUCCGUCUCUGUCUCUCUCCCUCAAACCCGACGGCGGCACUGGUUUCUCUCCGGCGAGCAUCUCCCUGCCCCUUGGCCCUACCCAUGUACCCCGUGGUCGUGGGAAAUUCUUCGCCACACGCCGGCUCUUCCGUUGGGUCUCUUUUCCCCAACCUCGACGGCGCCAGGGUUUGCUCUCCGACGAGAUGUGCUCCUUUGAUCUUGAGAUGCCACGGGUGCAUCUUCUCUUCUUAUGGCCCGGAGGUCAUGGCCGUGUUUAGAUUCGCAUCUUAUUCUUUGGAUUUGAGUUCAUUUGCCUCACCACGAACCUUUCUGCAGGAUCCAUGUUUCAGACGUUAGAGCCGAUCCCUGAUGCAUUUCCCGUGGAGUCGCGGGAUUUCAUGAGCAUCGCCGAUACCCAGCUGGGCCGCGGCGGCGAGGGCACCCUCUGUGCGGGGACGCCGGCUUAGGUUUUCUCAGAAGCCACCAGCGGCUGAACCAUGAGCGGCUGUCCUCCAUGGAUGAGUUUGCCGAAGCGCGGCAAGGUGGACCAUACAGUACGGAUGAUGCAAUAAUUGAAGAUAUGAAGAAGGAUUACAUGGUCGCGCAAGAGAUCAAGGAGAAUAACAAAUAAGCUUUAUGCAAUGGAUAAUUUGCAAGGCAAGGUUCUCCAUGCUUGUAUGUACGUUGCUGCUUUUGGAAUUUGGCAGUUGCUUACUGGUCAUGUUUGGUGAUUGAUGCUGAAUUCCUAGAUACAUUUUGUAAACAUUUGGAUUUGUCCAGGCGCAUGCCUGUAUGUACUAGAUGUUUACUUGUUUUCACUUAUCUGCAGAAGUGGUACGUUCCCUGUGAGAUUAAAUUAACUAGGUCCUAAUAAUGUAUUAUGUAAAAAUGUAUAUUUUAAUGGAGGUGUAUUUUCUGGUCA